UACACACUAAACGACAUGGGGAAAAACUGGGGAAACUCUAAUAUAUUUAUCGAUCUCCCAUUCUUCUCUAACACAUAGCCGCAUCUCCCAAGAGGGACUCUCUCUCAUUUUGGAGAACCUGCCGCCGAGCUCCUUCUUUCCCCCAUUUUCGCCGUCGGCCAGCCAUCAACGGCCAUGGCUGCCGCCUUCUCCUCUCUCCUCUUCAUCCCCUCUUCUCCUUUCUUUAACAACUGUAAAACGGGGAUCAUAAAUUCAUUAGAUCUGACUAAAAUUAUUAGAUCUUAUCGAAAAAUCCUUCACCGGUGACCGUGCUCGCUUGGCUUCUUUAAGAUGCUGCUCUGACUCCAUGAUUAUAGCGUCACUGAUUCUGCCGACUCUUUAGGUUGCUGGUCGGAUUUGUUUUGGCUAUCGUUACUGUGUUCUUUUGUGAUUAUAAAUGGUCAUGCCGAAAUAACGUUUUCGGCGACUGUUGUGCUCCUAACAUUGCAGCGAUCCUCUGUUCUUGGUCGAUUAUGAUUUGCAAAUUUGGAUUUGUGUUUGUGGCUGAUUACUCGAUAGUGUUGGUGGUAUUUUGGUACCAUUCCGUCGGAGUUUCGGCCGACAAAAUAUUUUCCGGCGUCCUGUGCAAUUUCCGGCGCCUCGCAAAAUUUCCGGCCACUGUCACGUACUCGUUUUACUAGCUAUUGAUGUUACUUUCAAACUCCUUUUCUUAUGUGAUGGUUUGAUUGUAUCUUUGCAAUUUCUGAUUUCUCCUUGGCUUCCGUUUGGGAUUUGUCCGCUGAUUGUGGCCCUUGCCAUUUCUGCUGCUUCAUCGCCAAAUGUUCUUCAAUGGCUUGUCCCAUGUUGAUGUCGUGACCCCUUUUUUUACACUGUAUUUGUAAGAAUUCUCAAGUUUUGAAAUAUUGCUUUUCAUCAAAUAUCGGCUAAACUAAAAUAAUGGAGACGACGAAUUAUUCUGUUGAAUAUUUGGUCCCUCAUCGUCAUCAUGUUUGAUUAGUUGGUUGUUGCAAGUGCUAUAGUCUGACUAAUUUCCUGAUAAUACGGGGUCGGGAAAAUUGAUACAGAAUGACAUCACAUUGAUUGACACUAGGUCGAUGAAAAAUAGCCACCGAGUUAUUAAGGCCAUGAUGCUCCGAAUGAUCCUUCGGAUUAGGCCCUAUAAUAACGAGGCGAUGAUGAUAAACAUCGAAAAAUAAAAGAUGAUGAUUGGAAUAUAAAAGACGAGAACACGACGAACCAACCUUCGGAGGGUGACACGGUUGGCCACCGAAGUCGCAACCAAGACGGUUCGUGUUCUCAUGUCUAGACGUAUAUUACAUAUAUCUGAGCCUCUUAUAUUAUUUUUAAAACUAUUUUCCAAAAAAAAAUUUCCCAUAAAUAUUUUGCAAACAAUCUUUCAGAAAAAAAAAAAAUAUUUUUCAAAUCAUUUUCAAGAGCAAUUUUCAAAAAAUAUUUUUAAAACAAAAAUCAUUUCAAAAAUGCAUGUCACUUAAUCAGUUUGUCUUUUACGUUACAUUAUUUCGCUAACAAUUUUAUUUCUCUUAUCUUGCGAGGUACUUUAUCUAAAACGCUUUGGAAAGAUGACGCUCGGAGACGAAAACGAACCCUGUCAAAUUCCCCGCUUCGUACUCCCGUUUUCGGAUGUGGUUCCACAACGGGAGGCAUUGACCAGUGAGAGUGGUACACUCUCUUCCCACUUGACUUGGUGAGCCCCACUUCUUUUGUUCUGUGUGUAUUAUGUUUUGAGGUAUAGCCCAAUUCUUGUUGCCGGCACUAUCAUUGUACUCUUUUGUAUCUAUUAGAGGCUCCAUAGAUAUGGUGUGGGUUGUGUAUUGGUAUUGGGAAAGUCAAGAUAGUAAUGUCGUAUGUGUAUUACAUGUUCCACUUCAAACUAUGAAAGUGUAUGUAUUUUGAGACUUUAUAAAUGAAGUAACUAAUGGUGAUGGAAUUAAUGUUGUUCA
This is a long non-coding RNA of Nicotiana tabacum (common tobacco), 1961 nucleotides long. RefSeq lists it as uncharacterized. The record is from RefSeq and is a predicted model, not a curated record. Lineage: Eukaryota; Viridiplantae; Streptophyta; Magnoliopsida; Solanales; Solanaceae.